Molecule: transfer RNA, 95 nt
Filed under: Dactylosporangium siamense
Lineage: Bacteria; Bacillati; Actinomycetota; Actinomycetes; Micromonosporales; Micromonosporaceae
Description: tRNA-Ser
Source: RNAcentral
GCCGUCACGGUAUGAGGGCCAGGACCUCGUCGACGGAGGCGGCGGGGUCGGUGACCGGGAACUGGACCUCGCGGAUCGUGCCCGUGGGGUCGACG